Molecule: ribosomal RNA, 441 nt
Filed under: uncultured bacterium
Lineage: Bacteria
Description: partial 16S ribosomal RNA
Rfam family: Bacterial small subunit ribosomal RNA
Source: RNAcentral
CUACGGGCUGCAGCAGUCAAGAAUCUUCCACAAUGGGCGAAAGCCUGAUGGAACGACGCCGCGUGAUUGAAGAAGCCCUUCGGGGUGUAAAGAUCUUUUAUUAGGGAAGAACCUAUGACGGUACCUAAUGAAUAAGGGGCUGCUAAACUCGUGCCAGCAGCAGCGGUAAUACGAGUGCCCCGAGCGUUAUCCGGAAUUAUUGGGCGUAAAGCGUGGGUAGCCGGCUUUGUAAGUCUGACGUCAAAUCUUGAGACUCAAUUUCAAGACUGCGUUGGAAACUGCAUUGCUAGAGGACGGGAGAUGCAAGUAGAAUUGUCGGUGUAACGGUAAAAUGUGUUAAUAUCGACAAGAAUACCAAAUGCGAAGGCAUCUUGCUGGAACGUUCCUGACGGUGAGCCACGAAAGCGUGGGUAGCGAAUGGGAUUAGAUACCCCGGUAGUC